Molecule: ribosomal RNA, 497 nt
Filed under: uncultured bacterium
Lineage: Bacteria
Description: partial 16S ribosomal RNA
Rfam family: Bacterial small subunit ribosomal RNA
Source: RNAcentral
GAUGAACGCUGGCGGCGUGCCUAAUACAUGCAAGUCGAACGAACAGACGAGGAUCUUUCUCCUCUGACGUUAGCGGCGGACGGGGGAGUAACACGUGGAUGACCUACCUAUAAGACUGGGAGAACUGCGGGAAACCGGGGCUAAUACCGGAUAAGAUAUUUAAGCGCAUGGUUCAGUAGUGAGAGACGGUUUUGGUGGCACUUAUAGGUGCAUGCGGGCCGCAUUAGCUAGUUGGGAAGGUAGCGGCUUAACAAGGCGACGAUGCGUAGGCGAGCUGAGGGGGUGAUCGGCCGCAGUGGAACUGAGACACGCUGCAAACCCGUACGGAAGGCAGCAGGAGGGAAUCUUCGGCGAUGGGGGAAAGCCUGACGGAGCAACGCGGCGUGAGUGAGGAAGGUCUUCGGAUCGUAACGCGUUGUUAUUAGGGAAGACCAAAUGUGUAAGUUGCUAGGCACGGUUUGACGGGACCUGAUCAGAUAGCCACGGCUAACUACGUG